This 332-nucleotide small nuclear RNA is filed under the name Jaculus jaculus (lesser Egyptian jerboa). RNAcentral's name for it is "7SK RNA (ENSJJAG00000009040.1)". It matches the Rfam family "7SK RNA". From Rfam's summary of the family: 7SK was discovered as an abundant small nuclear RNA in the mid-70s but a possible function has only recently been suggested. Two independent studies have found that 7SK RNA binds the CDK9/cyclin T complex (known as elongation factor P-TEFb). The record is from Rfam by way of RNAcentral. Lineage: Eukaryota; Metazoa; Chordata; Mammalia; Rodentia; Dipodidae.
AGAUGUGCAAGUGCUAGGGCAGAGACAUCUGCCAUCCAUUGAUUGCCAGGGUCGAUUGGGUUGAUGUGACUGGCUAGGAGGGUGUCCCCUCCUUCACUGUUCCACAUGUGUCUCUCCCGAAGGUUUGCACUUGGUAGAAGAGGGCAAUGUUCCCUGAUAGAGGAGGACUGCUCUUCAGGCAAGGACAUGUAAGUAGCUGACUUCUCCUGCUAGAACCACCAAUCAAGAACUCAAGACAGCUCCCCCUCUUCUAAUUUCAGGAACUCAGGUCUAAGUCCUUAUGGAACUCCCUCUUCUUAAGUCCGUCAUCAGAAAACUCUGUGGCCGACCUU